GAGAGUUUGAUCCUGGCUCAGGACGAACGCUGGCGGCGUGCUUAACACAUGCAAGUCGAACGGAAAGGCCCCUUCGGGGGUACUCGAGUGGCGAACGGGUGAGUAACACGUGGGUGAUCUGCCCUGCACUCUGGGAUAAGCCUGGGAAACUGGGUCUAAUACCGGAUAGGACCGCGCGCUUCAUGGUGUGUGGUGGAAAGCUUUUGCGGUGUGGGAUGGGCCCGCGGCCUAUCAGCUUGUUGGUGGGGUAAUGGCCUACCAAGGCGACGACGGGUAGCCGGCCUGAGAGGGUGUCCGGCCACACUGGGACUGAGAUACGGCCCAGACUCCUACGGGAGGCAGCAGUGGGGAAUAUUGCACAAUGGGCGCAAGCCUGAUGCAGCGACGCCGCGUGGGGGAUGACGGCCUUCGGGUUGUAAACCUCUUUCAGUAUCGGCGAAGCUCCGUGGUUUUCUGCGGGGUGACGGUAGGUACAGAAGAAGCACCGGCCAACUACGUGCCAGCAGCCGCGGUAAUACGUAGGGUGCGAGCGUUGUCCGGAAUUACUGGGCGUAAAGAGCUCGUAGGUGGUUUGUCGCGUUGUCCGUGAAAACUCACAGCUUAACUGUGGGCGUGCGGGCGAUACGGGCAGACUAGAGUACUGUAGGGGAGACUGGAAUUCCUGGUGUAGCGGUGGAAUGCGCAGAUAUCAGGAGGAACACCGGUGGCGAAGGCGGGUCUCUGGGCAGUAACUGACGCUGAGGAGCGAAAGCGUGGGGAGCGAACAGGAUUAGAUACCCUGGUAGUCCACGCCGUAAACGGUGGGUACUAGGUGUGGGUUUCCUUCCUUUAGGGAUCCGUGCCGUAGCUAACGCAUUAAGUACCCCGCCUGGGGAGUACGGCCGCAAGGCUAAAACUCAAAGGAAUUGACGGGGGCCCGCACAAGCGGCGGAGCAUGUGGAUUAAUUCGAUGCAACGCGAAGAACCUUACCUGGGUUUGACAUGCACAGGACGCCGGUAGAGAUAUCGGUUCCCUUGUGGCCUGUGUGCA
RNAcentral lists this ribosomal RNA (1030 nucleotides) under Mycobacterium sp. IP20010531. RNAcentral describes it as "bacterial SSU rRNA". It matches the Rfam family "Bacterial small subunit ribosomal RNA", at positions 8 to 1036 of the family's 1533-position model. Lineage: Bacteria; Bacillati; Actinomycetota; Actinomycetes; Mycobacteriales; Mycobacteriaceae. The record is from RNAcentral.